CCUCAAGGUCACCUGAUCCAGCAGCCUUGAA
RNAcentral lists this non-coding RNA (31 nucleotides) under Homo sapiens (human). The record is from RNAcentral. Lineage: Eukaryota; Metazoa; Chordata; Mammalia; Primates; Hominidae.